Molecule: ribosomal RNA, 513 nt
Filed under: uncultured bacterium
Lineage: Bacteria
Description: partial 16S ribosomal RNA
Rfam family: Bacterial small subunit ribosomal RNA
Source: RNAcentral
GACGAACGCUGGCGGCGUGCUUAACACAUGCAAGUCGAACGAAAAGAGGGAAAGAGCUUGCUCUUUCCGGAAUUGAGUGGCAAACGGGUGAGUAACACGUAAACAACCUGCCUUCAGGAUGGGGACAACAGACGGAAACGACUGCUAAUACCGAAUAAGUUCCAAGGGCCGCAUGGCCCAUGGAAGAAAAGGUGGCCUCUACCUGUAAGCUAUCGCCUGAAGAGGGGUUUGCGUCUGAUUAGCUGGUUGGAGGGGUAACGGCCCACCAAGGCGACGAUCAGGAGCCGGUCUGAGAGGAUGAACGGCCACACUGGAACUGAGACACGGUCCAGACUCCUACGGGAGGCAGCAGUGGGGAAUCUUCCGCAAUGGGCGAAAGCCUGACGGAGCAACGCCGCGUGAGUGAUGGCGGCCUUCGGGUUGUAAAACUCUGUGAUCCGGGACGAAAAGGCAGAGUGCGAAGAACAAACUGCAUUGACGGUACCGGAAAAGCAAGCCACGGCUAACUACGUG